RNAcentral lists this transfer RNA (77 nucleotides) under Rubrivivax sp. Its description in RNAcentral is "tRNA-Arg". It matches the Rfam family "tRNA". From Rfam's summary of the family: Transfer RNA (tRNA) molecules are approximately 80 nucleotides in length. Their secondary structure includes four short double-helical elements and three loops (D, anti-codon, and T loops). Further hydrogen bonds mediate the characteristic L-shaped molecular structure. tRNAs have two regions of fundamental functional importance: the anti-codon, which is responsible for specific mRNA codon recognition, and the 3' end, to which the tRNAs corresponding amino acid is attached (by aminoacyl-tRNA synthetases). tRNAs cope with the degeneracy of the genetic code in two manners: having more than one tRNA (with a specific anti-codon) for a particular amino acid; and 'wobble' base-pairing, i.e. permitting non-standard base-pairing at the 3rd anti-codon position. Lineage: Bacteria; Pseudomonadati; Pseudomonadota; Betaproteobacteria; Burkholderiales; Sphaerotilaceae. The record is from RNAcentral.
CUGCCCAUAGCUCAACCGGAUAGAGCACCAGCCUUCUAAGCUGGGGGUUCCAAGUUCGAUUCUUGGUGGGCAGGCCA